ACCAGCCCAACCCAAGGACCAACCGCAUGACAAAUACAAAAACAAAAAUGUUCACAUUGUUGCAUAUAUAGUAUUAAAAAAUAACAAAGCAGUUAUGAGUGUCAAAUAUAGAAGCACAUACGUCAAAAGCACAAUGUAUGUAGGACUUGCAGAAUCUGAUUCACAACUGGUAAAAAUAAAAACUUUAAAAAAAAAUAUAAGGAAAAUGAAUAUAAAAACUGCAAAGUUGAUAUCCAUUAAGACUAGUUGAACAAUAGUUUUUAAGAUGCAUUAAAGCGCAUAAGGUACUUGAGGCCUAGGCGCAAGCACGCACUAGAGCUUCAAAUUGCAAGCAAUGGUAAUUGAAUGCAAAAACAAUAAAAAAAUCAUAAUAACAAAUAAAUACAGCAAAGAAGUUAACUACUGAAACUCGUUCAAUGAAUCAUAUGUACAGUAAAUGCAAAGAAAUUACAAACACGCAAGUUAACCUCACGCCACAUUAAUUUGCCAUAAGCCAUGUAAACACAGGAGUGCAACAGAAACCAUCAUUAAACAUAGUCCAACACAAAAAUUAACAUUUCUUCCUCUUCAUACAUUUCUUUUAUACUGUAUUUGGUAGGGAGGAAGGAAAGUAAUCCAGUCAGUAAUAUGCGAUUGGUACAUUAAAUGGAGGAAAUAUAUCUUAAAUUACAGAGUCGGAAUACAUUUCUCCUCAUUCUCCUUUCCUUCCAAACACAGCCUUAAAGUAGCCCCUUGUCUAUAAUUUCUAACAAUUUGGUACUAAAUCACAAAAUCAUGUUGUGACAUUAACCUAGUCAAAGUUGGUACUAUACAAUUGUACUCACUGUAUCACCACAUAUGAUACCAUCCAAUGGUUGAGACCAAAUUUAAAGCAUGAAGUAAAAAUCUAGCAGUGCAAGCAUAACAAUAUAGUACAGC
This 918-nucleotide unclassified non-coding RNA is filed under the name Hevea brasiliensis (rubber tree). The record is from RNAcentral. Lineage: Eukaryota; Viridiplantae; Streptophyta; Magnoliopsida; Malpighiales; Euphorbiaceae.